AGCUUCUAGAUCAUUUCUUGCCUAACUUUUUUUUUUUCCUGAAGAAAUGUUGUUCCAGGGAGUGUCUGACUAGUUCUGCAGCUUGGCAAAAAAGCCAGACGUUACCUCAUAGCUGCGGCCAGACAGCCCAUUUCUAUGCCAAGCAACUGCUGCAGGAGCACACAGCACAGGGCCCUGCUUGAUUAGCACUUCUGCUGUUUCAAGAGUCCUGGAGUGUUUUGUUCAAGGUGGGCUGCUGAGUGGGUACUUUGUGUUCUUUUGUGCAAAUGAGCUUGCAGGCAGGGGGAGGCUUGGGAGGAGGUAGAGUUGGAGCGGGGACCAGGACACAAUGGAAGAGGGCUACAUUAAUAUUCUGCAUUCAUGUUAUCAUUGGGAAACAGGAUCUGUUUGUGGUGACCUGUGCAAAAAGCACACGUAGGACCGCAUCCUAAAGGUCAAAGCAAAUGAAAGAAAUGGGAAAACAAAGAGUUGUAAUGACAGAUCAGGUCAAACUGAAUUAAAUGCUUAAUUGUUUCCUUUGUGCCUCAGCAAAUGGCUUUCUUUAAAGCCAUGGGGAUCUUUUCUUUUCAGCGAAAAUCAUCAAUUCAUCAGUGUGCUGGAAGAUGAAGAGUGUUUGCAAACACUGCUGCCAAUAUAAUUUUCCUGUCUUCUGCCCCUUUCUAUUGAUUUACCUAGUGUACGUGUGUCUACACACUUUAUACUUUAUGGGCCAAAUUCAGACCUGGGGUAAUGCCAUAGAAUUACACCUGCCUAUACCAACUCUGAAUCUGGCCCCAUCUAUGUACUUAACACCGUUUUUGGUUCAUUGUGUUGCUCACAAAAGUGAAGGACAAAUAGCACAAACAUGGAGUGGGCUAAAGCUGUCCAUCACACAGCUCUGCCAAGGCCCCUCAGUUCUGGACUGCAACACCCCCUGCUGUCACUGUCUCAGACUGACCUCUCUCAAUGUACUCGACAUCGCUAGUCAUGCUGGCCUUGUGCCAAACUGGGCAGUGUUUGUAAGGCAGAUGAGAGAUCAACCCUCACACUUAUUUUACCUGGUCCUCAGUGUAGAGAAAUGGAAAAAUAGUGUCAUUGGCUCACUGUGCCACACAUUGACUUAUUUUCUCUAGAUGCAAAUAACAUUGGAUCCUGCUUUCCGCUUGCACAAAAUAAAACAGAAAAUGUUUUAUGUCAGAAUAUUGCCAGUGGGGUAAUAAGAAAUAAUAAUAAUAAUAAUUAAUUAAUAAGCAUUUGCAUUUUUAUCUGGGGAUCUCAAUGCAUUUUACAAACAUCAGUAAAUUUAGCCUCACAACGGCUCUAUGAAUUUGGUUGGUAUCUUUAGACCCAUUUUACAGAUGUGGAAACUGAGGGAUGGAGAGGUAAAGUGACUUGGCCAACGUCACCUAGGAAAUCGGUGGCAGGGACAAGAAUUCUAUAACUCCUGACUCCUAGUCCUGUGUUUUAAUCACAAGGCCUCACUUCCUCUUGUAAGAGGAAUGAACCAAUUCCAGUUCAAUAAGAAUGGUCUUCAGUCUUCAACCAAACCUGAAUCUUUUCUUUGUGAAUGUAGAUUAGUUUAUUGUCUUGUGCACCUCUGCUCUGCUGGGUUCUAGCUGACAAGUGCAAGUUAAAACACCUGGUUGAAAGGUCACAAUCCAACAGAAUGCAUUUUUGGUACAGCCAAAUGCAAGGUAAUACACCUGGGAACAAAGAAUGCAGGUUAUAACUAGAGGAUGAGUGACUCUGUCGUGGAAAGCAGUGACUCAGAGAAGGAAUGAGGGAUUGUCAUAUCUAAUCACCUCCACGUGAGCGCAAGGCUGUGGCAAAAUAUACUAAUUGGUUGUUGGAUGUAUAAAAAGGGAACUAUCAAAUACAAUUAGGGAAAUUAUCUUGGCUCUGUACACUGCAUAGGUAAGGCUGCUACUAGAAUACUAUGUCCAUUUCUGGUGUCCACAUUUCAAGAAGGAUGUGGAAAUAUUGGAGAGAGUUCAAAGGAGGGCCACAAAAUGAUCCAAGGGCUAGACAACAAGCUUUAUGAUGUGAGGCUUAGGGACCUCAAUCUAAUCAGUUUAUCGAAGAGAAGGAUGAGAAGUUGAUCAUUGUUUAUAGGUACUUACGCAUGAACAAGGUAUCUGAUAGAAUGGGUCUGGGGGUGUGGGGUGGUUCAGUCUUAUAGACAAAGGUGUAACCAGAAGCAAUGGCUGGAAGUUGAAGUUAGAUAAAUUCAACCUUGAAAUAAGACACCAUUUCCUAGCAGUGAGGGUAAUUAAACAUUAGACCGGCUUAUCAUGGGCGGUGGGGCCUCAGCGGCUGUCUUGUUGAGUGUUUAAAAUGUGAUAAGCUAUCUUUCUAAAAGACAAACUGUAAUCUAGCUUCUGAGAGAAAUUCUUCCUGUGUGUUCGGGGGGAUGGGUGAGUGCUCUUGGAUGGUCAUGGUGGUUCCUUCUGGCCAUGGAGUUUGUGCAUCUGUGAAUGCUCCUGUUCAUUCCCUUCCUUUAUGGGCUGGGGGAGAACAGGAUGGCCUGCAUUGCCCUCAACAUGCUCAAAAUACUUCAGUUUUGCAUUAAGACAAUGACUAUAAUCAAAUUCCAUGCUUCAGACAGUUGCCUGAAGGGGUCAGGAAGGAUCUUUUUUCACCAAUGCAAAAUUGGCCAGGUGGAUUCUGAGGGAGUGGGGUUCCCCUUCUUCUGAAGCAUCAGAGAUGCCCACAGCUGAAAACAGGACACUAGACAGGCUGCACCAGUGUGGUGAGGUGAUACAAAGAAUCCUCUUUCUCAGAUGCCUGGCUGGUAGGUCUUGCUCACAUGGUCAGGGUCCAGCUGAUGGCCAGAGUUGGGGUCAGGAAAGAAUUUCCCCCAGGUCAGAUUGGCGGAGACCUUGGGAGGGUUUUGCCUUCUUCUGCAGUAUGAAGAUCAUUUGCUAGGAUCAUCUGGGCGUGCCUCACCUAAUCUAUUCCCUGCCAUUGCAGCUAUUGGUGGCACCUUGGUCUGUCCUGUUUUCUGCAUGUGGCACACAACUGGAUGGAAUUUAAUGGAGGUUAAACUAGAUGAUGUAAUGGUCCCUUUUGGUCUUGAACCCUAUCAAAGUAUGUAAAGCACUAAAUUCCCACGAUAGCAGCAGGGUUGUCUCCCUGCCAUCCCACAAGAAGAGAUUCUGAUACACAGAUAUAUUCGGUUUCCACAGUGCCCUUGCCUCCUGCACACAUUCCCACACCAUUAUAUUUUCUGAAGCUCAAUGCUCUGCACUGUCUCUUCAUGGUAAAUCUAAUGGAGUCAUUCAGAAAUGCCAAGAAAAGACAGCCUAGCAGAGACACGUCAUCUUCAAACAGGGCCCGAGAUCUACUUAGACAAAACGGCUUUCAAAAACCCAACAUGAAGACUGUACAAUGAAAACCCACCUCUGAUCUUUGCCUGCAUCUCCCCAAGCAGCCAAAGAAACACCUUUCAUGCUGAGUUUUUUCUU
Long non-coding RNA from Dermochelys coriacea (leatherback sea turtle), 3443 nucleotides. RefSeq lists it as uncharacterized. The record is from RefSeq and is a predicted model, not a curated record. Lineage: Eukaryota; Metazoa; Chordata; Testudines; Dermochelyidae. The transcript has 3 exons.